Molecule: ribosomal RNA, 325 nt
Filed under: uncultured Bacillota bacterium
Lineage: Bacteria; Bacillati; Bacillota
Description: bacterial SSU rRNA
Rfam family: Bacterial small subunit ribosomal RNA
Source: RNAcentral
GACGAACGCUGGCGGCGUGCCUAACACAUGCAAGUCGAACGGACAUUAAUUUUUCGGAAUUGAUGUUAGUGGCGGACGGGUGAGUAACGCGUGAGCAACCUGCCUUACAGAGGGGGAUAACGUUUGGAAACAGACGCUAAUACCGCAUAACAUAUAUUUACCGCAUGGUAGAUAUAUCAAAGGAGCAAUCCGCUGAAAGAUGGGCUCGCGUCCGAUUAGAUAGUUGGUGGGUAAAGGCCUACCAAGUCAGCGAUCGGUAGCCGGACUGAGAGGUUGAACGGCCACAUUGGGACUGAGACACGGCCCAGACUCCUACGGGAGGCUG